RNAcentral lists this ribosomal RNA (416 nucleotides) under uncultured bacterium. Its description in RNAcentral is "bacterial SSU rRNA". It matches the Rfam family "Bacterial small subunit ribosomal RNA", at positions 32 to 430 of the family's 1533-position model. The record is from RNAcentral.
AAUCAACGCUGGCGGCGUGCCUCAGACAUGCAAGUCGAACGCGAAAGUCCCCUUCGGGGGACAAGUAGAGUGGCGCACGGGUGAGUAACACGUAGGUAAUCCACCUUCGGAUGGGGAAUAACAACCGGAAACGGUUGCUAAUACCGCAUAAUGCAGCGGCACCUAAUGGUGACAGUUGUUAAAGCGGGGGAUCGAAAGACCUCGCGUCUGAAGAGGAGCCUGCGGCGGAUUAGCAGUUGGUAGGUAACGGCUUACCAAGGCGACGAUCCGUAGCCGGCCUGAGAGGGCGGUCGGCCACACUGACACUGACAUACGGGUCAGACUCCUACGGGAGGCAGCAGUCGGGAAUUUGGGCAAUGGGCGAAAGCCUGACCCAGCAACGCCGCGUGAAGGAUGAAAUCCCUCGGGAUGUAAAC